GAGAGAGAGAGAGAGAGAGAUUUACAUAUAGAGCACCCAUGAUUUGGUAAUAAUAACAGUGUGAUUCCCUGUUGUUGAAUAAGCAUCCACCAAUCAUAUGGUUUAUAAUGGUGUUUCCUGUGGAGAAAGAGAUUCUAUUAAUUAUAGAAUUCAUCAUUCAGCAACUUCUUUUCUUUCUUUAGUAGGUGCAAGCCAUACCCUUUUGGUCUUUUGACUUAAUGUUAUCAGGUUAAAUUUCCAAAAACCAAGGCUUUCAAUUUUUC
This 263-nucleotide unclassified non-coding RNA is filed under the name Hevea brasiliensis (rubber tree). The record is from RNAcentral. Lineage: Eukaryota; Viridiplantae; Streptophyta; Magnoliopsida; Malpighiales; Euphorbiaceae.